This 492-nucleotide ribosomal RNA is filed under the name uncultured bacterium. RNAcentral describes it as "partial 16S ribosomal RNA". It matches the Rfam family "Bacterial small subunit ribosomal RNA", at positions 29 to 507 of the family's 1533-position model. The record is from RNAcentral.
AGUGAACGCUGGCGGUAGGCCUAACACAUGCAAGUCGAACGGCAGCACAGUAAGAGCUUGCUCUUACGGGUGGCGAGUGGCGGACGGGUGAGGAAUACAUCGGAAUCUACUUUUUCGUGGGGGAUAACGUAGGGAAACUUACGCUAAUACCGCAUACGACCUACGGGUGAAAGCAGGGGCUCUUCGGACCUUGCGCGAUUGAAUGAGCCGAUGUCGGAUUAGCUAGUUGGCGGGGUAAAGGCCCACCAAGGCGACGAUCCGUAGCUGGUCUGAGAGGAGGAUCAGCCACACUGGAACUGAGACACGGUCCAGACUCCUACGGGAGGCAGCAGUGGGGAAUAUUGGACAAUGGGCGCAAGCCUGAUCCAGCCAUACCGCGUGGGUGAAGAAGGCCUUCGGGUUGUAAAGCCCUUUUGUUGGGAAAGAAAAGCAGCAGGUUAAUACCCCGCUGUUCUGACGGUACCCAAAGAAUAAGCACCGGCUAACUUCGUG